This 258-nucleotide ribosomal RNA is filed under the name uncultured bacterium. RNAcentral describes it as "partial 16S ribosomal RNA". It matches the Rfam family "Bacterial small subunit ribosomal RNA", at positions 96 to 354 of the family's 1533-position model. The record is from RNAcentral.
UGGCGGACGGGUGAGUAACGCGUGGAAAACCUGCCGUAUACUGGGGGAUAACACUUAGAAAUAGGUGCUAAUACCGCAUAAGCGCACAGCUUCGCAUGAAGUGGUGUGAAAAACUCCGGUGGUAUACGAUGGUUCCGCGUCUGAUUAGCUUGUUGGUGGGGUAAUGGCUCACCAAGGCGACGAUCAGUAGCCGGCCUGAGAGGGUGAACGGCCACAUUGGGACUGAGACACGGCCCAAACUCCUACGGAAGGCAGCAG